Molecule: transfer RNA, 84 nt
Filed under: Planctomycetota bacterium
Lineage: Bacteria; Pseudomonadati; Planctomycetota
Also listed under: 1 other name
Description: Planctomycetes bacterium (groundwater metagenome) tRNA-Leu
Rfam family: tRNA
About the family: Transfer RNA (tRNA) molecules are approximately 80 nucleotides in length. Their secondary structure includes four short double-helical elements and three loops (D, anti-codon, and T loops).
Source: RNAcentral
GCCGAAGUGGCGGAAUUGGCAGACGCGCUAGGUUCAGGACCUAGUCCUCGCAAGAGGGUGGAGGUUCAAGUCCUCUCUUCGGCA